UUUGUAGGAACUAAAUGCUUUGUUUCCAAAAAGGAGAGAGGUGGAGAGAGGCCUCGAAGAAGUAAAUGCUGCCUGAAUGGAGGUAGACCAGAGGAGGGAAGAAGGCCAGGUGGCUGGCAGCCACAGAGGAGCUUUCAGAGAAGAACCUGGAAUCCUGAUGAGGAUUUUUGUGUUGUGUAUAAUAUGCACACUGUGAGGUCAACCUCCCUCCCAUCUCCCUCAUCUUCCUCAUUGAGACGAACAACAAAAAUCUCUCUUUCUUGUUGGUGUGGAGAGGCUGAGUUUGUGUACUUUUGUUUGUGUUAUUCUGUUUGAUGCUGUAGGAAGGAGAUGACAAAUACUGAAGCCUUUGAAAUCAGAGGCUUCCAUGAAGACUGAGCACACCAGCAUCAUGUCCACACAGGGAAUCCUCCCAACAGCUGCAGCUUCCAUCCUUUUCCUUUCCUGUUUCCACCCAGUUCUCCUUAUCCUAUUUCAAGAUUGCUAGGGCCCUGUGGAGGCAGCGGUGGUGGGCAGGGAGGUAGUUUUUAAGAAAAGAAGAACCUGGGGAGGCAGGCAGGGCCCAGAGGGGAUUCCACUGCAAGCAGACUUCCCCAGCUUCCCAUAGCUUUGCAGGGACAGGCCCCCACCCCUACCUUCCUCUUGCUUUUUGGCUCUCCCCUCUCCACCAAGCCCCUUCUCUAGCUCCAGGGUCAGUGGUUAAGCAGUGGGUGGUGGACAGCAUAGGUCAACUUGCACAGUCUGGGAGGUGGGGAAGAUGAGGGAAUAAGGAGGAAUAAAGAAGGAAACUGUGAUUAUGAUACUUGAUGCUUUUACAUUUAAGUUUUUGCAGAUGAAAGUUCUCAUUUAUAUUUUACAGAUGAGGAAAUGGGGGCCAAGAGGGAUUUGGUGACAUGCUCAGUGUCACAGAACUAGAAAGUGGGCAGAUUAUUCUUAUGGUAAAAUUUGUGCUACUCCCUCCACCCACUACCCUUCUAUCGUAAGAGGAAGGUGGGACAGUAAGGGAGAUAUUGGAUCGUCAUGUGACAGAGGAAGAAGAAACCUUAAAGAACCUCAACAUUUCACCCCUGAGGAAGCUGAGUCCAGAGAUAGGACUGUUUUGCCGAAAGUCAUCACCAGGUUUUUUCUUCAAAAACUGUGUCAUAGAAAGUGUAGGACGACCACAGGAAGGAGAAAAAAGAAGCAAAACUUCUCAAUCUAUAAAUAUGCCAUUGAGGGUGCCAUUUUAGUACAACGCAGGCAAACUUACGCCCUUCAGUUUAACUCAAUACAUGGAGGACUGUAACCACCUGAAUAUCAGAAUCCUUCAGCUUUGGCUUAGUUCACAAUGUGCAAAGCAAUGACUUGAACAGCAUGGUUUUUGCAGAACUUAAAAUCAGAAUAUUUAACAACAUUCCAGUAUUUCUUGCAAGUGGACCUGUCCUGCAUGUUUUUAUCGUAACAGGGCUAGGGUUAGCAUGCAGGGAAGUACAACCCUAAUAGUUUAAUUCUUUGAAUCCAUCUCUCAUGCCAAAUAUGUGGGCUUUACUGUAUUCUUCAGUGUUCCAUGCGGUUGGAGGCCAAGACUCAAGGUGGCCUAGGGCGAUGACCCCUGUGAAAGGCGUGGCUGCCCAUCCUGGCUCCUCCCCCCAUCCCUGCUGACGCCUGCGCAAAGUGGACUCAGGCCUGAGACACUUGAACUAAUGCUAGCAGAGCUGGGGGCAACCUAGAGUGUGUGCUGAAGGUCGGCUCUGAUUGGUCAAGUCAAAGAGUGAAGAGACUCACGCUGAAGACCUGGUUAUGGAUCACCAUUUCCGAAGCCAGCAAAUGAUACAACGUCUCAGCUGGAGAUCAAUUUUGGAGACAUUGGCCACCCAGGACGUGGUGGCAGGGUAGGAGGAGGUGGCCGUGGGCAUGGUGGACGUCCAACCAUGGCAUCAGGACUAAGUCAAGUGCUUCUGCUUCUCAUGUGGAUGACCUAGAGGCAUUCCCAGUCUGGCUUAAUUGGAUGCCAUAAGACAACCCUGGUUCCGUUGUGGAUCUUCAUUGAGGCCUGCAUGCUUAAGGAUCCCAAACGACUAAGAUAUUAAAGG
Vicugna pacos (alpaca) is the source of this 2072-nucleotide non-coding RNA. The record is from RefSeq and is a predicted model, not a curated record. Lineage: Eukaryota; Metazoa; Chordata; Mammalia; Artiodactyla; Camelidae.